UGGGGCAUGGCCAAGUGACUAAGGUACUAUAUUUUGGUCCUGUUACUCAGAGGUUCGAAUCCUUUUGUCCCAA
This 73-nucleotide transfer RNA is filed under the name Zingiber officinale. It matches the Rfam family "tRNA". Rfam says of the family: Transfer RNA (tRNA) molecules are approximately 80 nucleotides in length. Their secondary structure includes four short double-helical elements and three loops (D, anti-codon, and T loops). The record is from Rfam by way of RNAcentral. Lineage: Eukaryota; Viridiplantae; Streptophyta; Magnoliopsida; Zingiberales; Zingiberaceae.